GUCGAGGAUCAUUCGCAAUGGGCGAAAGCCUGACGGUGCGACGCCGCGUGGAGGAUGAAGGCCCUCGGGUUGUAAACUCCUGUCAUCAGAGAGUAAGGCUUCUGCGAGUAACUGCGCAGGAGAUUGAUAGUAUCUGAAGAGGAAGGGACGGCUAACUUCGUGCCAGCAGCCGCGGUAAUACGAAGGUCCCGAGCGUUGUUCGGAUUUACUGGGCGUAAAGCGUCUGUAGGCGGCGCGGCAAGUCAGAUGUGAAAGCCCGGGGCUCAACCCCGGAACUGCAUCCGAUACUGCCAUGCUUGAGGAUCGGAGGGGAGUCUGGAAUUCACGGUGUAGCAGUGAAAUGCGUAGAUAUCGUGAGGAACACUAGUGGCGAAGGCGAGACUCUGGACGAUUCCUGACGCUGAGAGACGAAGGCCAGGGGAGCAAAAAGGAUUAGAUACCCGAGUAGUCC
This 451-nucleotide ribosomal RNA is filed under the name uncultured bacterium. RNAcentral describes it as "bacterial SSU rRNA". It matches the Rfam family "Bacterial small subunit ribosomal RNA", at positions 354 to 796 of the family's 1533-position model. The record is from RNAcentral.